This 2118-nucleotide long non-coding RNA is filed under the name Cricetulus griseus (Chinese hamster). RNAcentral describes it as "lncRNA (ENSCGRG00015036363.1)". Lineage: Eukaryota; Metazoa; Chordata; Mammalia; Rodentia; Cricetidae. The record is from RNAcentral.
GCGCGCUGGGCGGGCCCCGCGGGGCGCCCGGGCGCCACUCUCGCGGCCCUAUCUGCGAGGUAUUCUUGACCUCCUUGGGCCUUCUCGGUUGUCCCCGCUGCUCCGUGCCAACCCCUGCGUCUCGGAACCGGGAAGGUGGAGUAUAAGCCGGUCCGCCCGCGCUUUUGUUUGCCACCAGAGCGAUUGAGGAGCCUCUGCGACUACCGGGGUCUGUCAACUUUCUGCCUCCUUUUCUGAACCCAGCAAGAGAGUUGCUUCCCUUCCCGUGGCAAACACGGGGUUCCACGCUUCGUCAAUAAACUGAAGUUGAGGCUGGGAUGGUAGAGAGACGGGAUUCCACGCGGGGCUUCUAGGCAGUCUUUCCCACGAAAACGUUGCACAGCUGAGUUGUAGCCUCCAAGCUGCAGUCCCCCGAGCGCUGCCUGUUCUGCCCUGGCCCCUUGCAGGCUCACCUCACACUAACCCCACUUGAGCUCAGCCCAGCAGCCCAAGAAGCUGGACCGCACUGCAGCUGAGAGCUCAUUCCAACGUUUCCAAGUGAAUAAGAUACUGUAGAUUUCCAGGGAUCCAGAGCAAGCCCGAGUCCUGGGUCUGUGCACUAUGGCGGAGUCCCUGUCUCUCCAUCCAGGGGUGUUUCAUAAAUAGCCCCACAUCCCUGAUUCAAGUGUCCUGUGCUUUAACUGGUUCAAAUUCAAGCUAAUGAGCAGCCCAGAGACCUAGACACCAAGCUGUUUCUGGUUUCUCUUUCGGGUUUCAGUAUUUUUCAGGCAGGUGUACUGACACUUUGGAUAAUUCAGCCUUCCUUGUUCCUGACACUGCAGAGGCCCUGGCUUGUUCUGUACCUUGCCUCUGACUUUGCCUUUAGCAAUAACGCUAAUAGAGAUGCCAGCAUGUGACUUUAUCUACUGUUAGCAAUUUGUCCCUACCCCCAGCUUGAAACCCCAAAUCUGUGAGAAAUCGUCCCAGGCCUCCACUGCCCCACAUCUGGCUUCUCAAUCUCUUUGGGGGUUCUUACUUCACUAACUGCUAAAUAUGGAUGGCCCUGGGACUUGUCCUUAGACCUAUUUUACUUGUGUGUCUUAGGGCUUCGAAUAUCUUGAAGAGUUUGAUGCUAACCCAGAUCUCACCCCUGAGCACCAAACAUAUCCACCUGUCCCACGUCUUCUCCCCCAACCCCCAACUGUUGGGUUGAAUAUUGAUUAUCUCAUGUUGGGAAGCCUGUAGUCUCAGCACUCGUGAGACCAAAACAGGAGGAUUGCUUGUGAGUUCAAGGCCAGCCUGGACUGAAGAUGAGACCCUGCCUUUAAAAAUAAAUAAGUGGGACAUCUUCCCCAUGCCUGUAAACAUCUCCCCAUGCCAGCCCAAGGCAGUACACAUCUUUGUUCACCAAUCUGAAAAUUCAGUGUGGUCCUUUUUGUCUCCUGUCCCCUUCCAUCCCGGAAUGUCAGCUCAGCCUUUGAAAUAUACUGAAGCUUCUCACUUUCCAUCACCCUUUGAAGGAUUGACUACCCAGCCUCUGAACUAUUGAUGGAGAACUAACCUAGGGAUCUGCCUCCUUCCUGUCUCCUCGAUGACCAUUCUGGAGAAGAUAAUCCUGGUACCACUACCAUCACCCACAAGAGACCUUAACAAGAUCCUGCUGUCCUUCUGUCAUAGAAGGAAGGGGUGGGAUUGGUCAUUAGACCCUCACCUCCAAUUCUAGUGCCUCUCUCCCUUCUGCACCCCUGAGCAAGCUGCCUGUAACCCUGCUGCAGUGGUCUUUGGAGGUGCUGGAGUACACAGAGGGUCGCUGAAGGGGGCUUCACCUGUGUAGCUUCCUGGAGGUCAUCACCCAUGCUGAGACAAGAUAGGACUUUCAGUGAUGUAGCUGUUUGCGGUCACUCACAACUCCUAUGAUCCCCCAGUUGAAAUCCAAGUCUUAUUCUUCCAGAUGGCACUAAAAUUAAAGACUCCGCUAAGCAUCUGUAUUGUGGAGUCUCCCAGUGUUAUCUGCUCCUGAUGCUGUAAGAUGUGACCAUAGACAGUGAUGUAAAGAAAUGUGUGCUGAUGAUCUUAGUGGUCUGAGGAUGUCAGAAAUAGGUCCCCCUGGGGUGAAAUCCAGAUGCCAGCAACACUGCC